Long non-coding RNA from Cynoglossus semilaevis (tongue sole), 991 nucleotides. RefSeq lists it as uncharacterized. NCBI's taxonomy places the organism in Eukaryota, Metazoa, Chordata, Actinopteri, Pleuronectiformes, Cynoglossidae. The transcript has 3 exons. The record is from RefSeq and is a predicted model, not a curated record.
CCUCCUGCUCCUCCUCCUCCUCCUACUGCUGCUGCUGCUCCUACUGCUCCUCCUGCUCCUCCUACUGCUGCUCCUCCUCCUCCUGCUCCUCCUCGCCAAUGGACUAAACAUGAUGACAUCAUGCCAAAAGCUCCUUGAAUGCAGACACAGCAGCGACAACAAUAGUCGGAAAAUCUCACAACACGUUCUUCGACCUUUGACCUGCGACGACUGUACUAUGUCUUAUUUCCACACAACUGCUUGCGGCAUGUGACACACACACUCCAGUGUAUGUAAAGCCACACAUGCCUCUGAUCACUCACACCCAAAGCAGCAACCACUCGCAUCAAUUCUUUGCAGCCAUGGCACGGUACGAGCAACAUUCUAAGAGGAGUAUAACAAUUACGAACGCCUCUUUCAUUUUGUCUACCAAAAGACACAAUGCCUUUAAACUCAGAGGCGAAAGAUGGAUUUAAUCUCAGUGCUGGACUCAAGGUAAGAGAUCACCGACAGAAAAUAUUUUUCUAAAACUGCAAUGCAACAGCCGUAUGAUGAAUGCUGAAAAAAGCUGGGGACUGAUCUUCAAGAUGUUAAAUGCUUUUCUAUAUUUAUUUUAUUUGCUUUGUUGUUUGUUUAUAUGUUAAUAUGUUGGGUUUACUGUUGUACGUAUUGACCAUUAGGAGUGUGCUGUUUGUUGUUUGCAAAAAACUUUUGAUCACAGUAUUCAGUGCAGCUAAUUUUUAUAACAAUGUAUUGUAUUGUGUCGCAAUGAUGUUAACGGCGUAUGUAGCAUCAUAACUAGAAAAUGAUAAUGUUUACAUUUUAAGGCAUCUUCAUUAUUCCAAAGGGUUACAUUUCUGAAAAAAACACUCAGGACUAUUAACUAGUUCACUGUGUUAUUUCAUAUUUUUCUACAUGUUGUACUGUUGAGGUUAUAUUCAUCUUAUAUUCAUCUUAUUAGUGUUCUUUGUUAUUUACUUCAUUAAUUAAUAAACUGUUGAACUAAUCUCUA